AAAAGUAACAUUAUAUUUUUGUAAACAAUAUAGCCCCGCGGUACACCGCGGGUUAAAUUCUAGUUGUAAUACAUAUUGUUAUUAAUUCAAUCAUUAUAAUUAUGACUACUAAUUUAUUUAUUAGUUGGUUUAUUUAAGAAAAAUAGUAAACUGAUUUAAUAUAGAUAUUUGAAGCACAUAAUCAUGUCAAAUAAAUAUUAUUUGAUAUAUAACUAUGUAUUUAUUUUAUUUUAUUAUGAAGGUUAAAAAAUAUAAUAUUUUGCCUCAUAUAUUAACUAUAUCAUAAUUAUCGAAUAACCGUAUCCAUAUUUAACUAUAAUCAUAUUUAACCGUAACUGUAUUUAACCGUAACCGUAUUUAACCGUAUCCGUUUUAACCGUAUAUAUAAUAGUUAAAGUUAAGAUUAAAGAAAAUCUAUAACCAUAACUGGUGGUUAAAAAACCGUAACCGUAAUAACCGCAACCGUGGUCAUACCUACUAACAACAAACAAAUUAAAAAAAAAGUUUAUCCCGUGAAGAGAGAAACGGGCGGAAAAAGAUAAAUGCCCAAAAAGAAAAUAAGUAGAAGAAUUUUAACUUUUAACCAAAAGAAAAAAAUCGCCUCGGAAAUGGUGAGAAGUAUAGUAGUUUUCCGUCUUAAUAGUAAAAAAUUCAAAAACUAAUAGGUGCACACAUAAGGUCAAUCAAAUAAUUAGGAUCCCAAAUCCGAGGUACACAAGGCUAAGACAUAAACGUAAUUCAAUAAGAAUUGAAAGGAUACAUCCACAUUUAUUACAUGAAUUGGGGCUGUUGUAAGGCCUGGAUCCCACACCUAGGAUGUAUUACGCAGAAGAGACAAACAUGUGACCUUUACGUCAUACAAAUAAGAGGGGAAGAAGUCCGGAGAAGCGCAACGUUGCGCCGAAGUGAUCAAGCCAUGCGAGCCACAAGCAAGUCCAAGAGGAAAAAACCAACGAAAGAGUUUGUUUGAAUUCAAACCAAGACUUUGUGACAUUGAAGACACAAUCGAAACAGAAGCAUUUAAUGUUAAUUAUGGGAUUAAUUAGCAAUAUUUAAUCACUAUUAUGUAUAAAUAUAGGACCUCAUAGCUUUGUAAAGGAGAUUAUUUUCUGUGAUGUCCUGUUGAGGCAUUAUGCAGAAUUUUCAAUAACUUGGAUAUUAUUAUUUACUAAAGUCAAACGUAGUUUCACUUAGGAUAUCUAACUUUUAUCUUUUAAUGCAUUUUCCUCUGUUUUCCCAUGUCUUAUGUCCUGUUGAGGCAUCAUCAAAUGUAUUGAAAAGGGAAUGCCAUUAUAGUCUCCAUGUCUUCUUCUAUAGGCAACAAUAAGAAGGAAAGAGACUUUGGAUCAUACAAUACUACAUCCUCAAACAUUAUCAAAGGCAUAAUAGAUUACGUAUAUUAUAUGCUAGGGUGCUGGUACAAUCUUCACAUUGAUCAGAAUGAGUAUAAUGUUUAUUAGAGUCUAUGCCCAUCACUUUAGAUUGGUUAAUGGCUUACUAUGGAGUAGAUUUCACUAGAAUCAUUGAGAAAUUGGUUCCCAAU
Molecule: small RNA, 1543 nt
Filed under: Arabidopsis thaliana (thale cress)
Lineage: Eukaryota; Viridiplantae; Streptophyta; Magnoliopsida; Brassicales; Brassicaceae
Description: ATSL099890
Source: RNAcentral